Molecule: long non-coding RNA, 428 nt
Organism: Saccostrea cuccullata (small rock oyster)
Lineage: Eukaryota; Metazoa; Mollusca; Bivalvia; Ostreida; Ostreidae
Exons: 3
Source: RefSeq, a predicted model, not a curated record
UUUGACAUCGUUAAAGAAACAUUGUUUUAAUAAUUGAUAAUUCAUUGUAGGAAACGCAUUGCUUUUGCGCAUGUUAUAAUAAUACGGUUGUCAUUAAAAAGUUAAACUGUGGUCAACUCAAUUCAAAAACCUUCAAGAACGACUUAAUCGGAACUGGUACCGAUCAGAGAGCGGGAAGGGGAGAUUAUGUAUUUGCCUCUUAUAGGAAAGUUACACUAACCACAGAAAUAGAUGACAAAUUAGGCCAGUGUCUGCUGGAGACAAAUAUAGGAUAUAAGACGUAUCCUUGUGAUUCAGCAGAUAUAACACAACGUACAUGGAUACAAAGAUCUCGAAAUGAGAUUAAAAAUAAAAGUCUUUCAAGGUGGACCCCUUAUGUACGACGAUUAAUCAUCAGCUGGAAGAAAAGCAAGAACACAAUAUUGACU